UAUUGUGGAGAGUAACGGACGCCGUGUCCUAAUUGCUGUGCGUCUUUCUUUGUGGUUAGCACGUUCCAUUUGUAUCGGUACCAUGCCGUUGGGACGUUUAACUGUCUUAGCUUUAACCACUGUGGAAGCUAACAACAAUUUUGGCUCUGUGCGUGAUAAAGACCCACAAGGUCACACCCGCCAUCUUCCUUGCACCCCCCUCUAUUGUCCCACACACAUCUUAUAUGCUUGCUGAUUGUUCUAUGAGCAUUGUAAUAUCUUUGAUAUUUUUGCUAAUAACCAAACCUGCCCUACCUGAAUCCCAACAGUAGCAUCAGUUUGGAGCUCAGUGUUGUCAGCCUAACGGUGGUUACCAUAGUGAUGUGGAUGCAGAGAAUGAAAGGAAACACUGCGGCGGAUUAGGACAGUGGGCUGUUCUCUACUCCAAAGCCGUAGAGCUACUGAUGUAUUGAAGUCAUGUCAGUUCUUUCUCUGACACAUCUGACGCAAUGUGGGAAAACGAUUCUGUAUUGACACUAAACUCACUGAAGCAGCUUAAAUGUAUGAACUUUAAACAUGCUUUAUCUUAAAACAAAGGGUACUUAUUGCAGCUUCAGGCCGGCCUGUCAUAUUGACUGGACAAAAGAAGAAAUCUCCUUCCAUAACAGGGUUUCUGCAGAUUCAAGUUAAAUGUAUAAUAAUUAUAAUUAUAAACAAAAAUAAAUGUAUUUUUUCCAGUGCUUCCCAAUAGUAGACCUAUAAUUCUUAAUGAUAUAAUUAAUUAAAUCAUCACAACUUGGACCCAGAUAAGCUGCAGAAAAUGGAUGGAUUAACUAAUGAAAAAUUAUAAAUAGCUUAAUUAAGUUUUUUCUAAAAUCAACACUUGCUCAUUAUGAGACAAUUAGCUUCCUAGCUUUUGUAGCUAGCAGUAGUGAUGUGCUUUCUACAGGUCUAAUGGUGCUGACUGAAACUCCACAAAAAGGGAUUGACCAGUCUCCUGCAGCACAAUCCACUUUUAGUCCCCCGACAGCCUGCAAUUGGAUACAAAAACAUUUUAUAACAUUACUCCCUAUGGCAGGCUUGAGGAAAUAUUUCAGACCUUUGUAAAUUAAAUCGAAGCCUUUUUAAGAUCUUCCAAGGCUUUUGCUUGGGGAAACUAAAUUCAAUGCUUGUUUAGACUUUUCAAGACUUGACCUGCACCUGCAUUUUGUUUUAAAUGUCAAGACCACUCAUCAUCAGAGAGACAGCAAUCUUAAAUUGUGGCAGCGGCAGCUAGCAGUGGCACUGACCUGCUGCUGUUUGCGGCAGCUGCCACUGACAAAAAUCACAGCAUGGGAAUGCUACUUCUAGCGAGUCUAAUGCAACAUUGAUUGUUAACAUUCAUAAUCUAUAAACUUAGGCAUCUCACUAGCAGAUGCCACAAACAGCGGCAGGUCAGUGGCAGCUGAGGCUGCCAUUGGAAGUGCCACUGCUAGCUGCCGCUGCCACUAUUUGAGCCAGCCUUUGCUUCAUCAUCAGCCAAGUGCUUUCUUUCUAUCCGACACACAUGAAUAAAAUAUCUAGAAAUAUACACUUAUGCAGUUCUUGAAAUUGAACGUGGGUUUUCCUAAGAAUACUGUUCAUCAAUUUCCUGUCUCAACUCUAAUUUAGCUUUCUGUAAAACCAAAUCAGGGUAAAAGACAAACGGAUCAAACAGACAGCUAAAGACAAGGUAGAAGGUAAGUUUGGAGAGAGGAGAGAUGGGAUUUCCGAUGUAGGCUACUAUAAACAUGUAGUAUAAAUUAAUUUGAGGGAGGUGAGUAGACAAAAAAAAUUGUCUAAAUAGAUCAGGCAGUACAAAUGCUUUUUCUUUCACUACACUUAAAACUUUAUUUAUAAAGAAAUUUGGUAUACAGUAAAAUCUGACUUUUUUAGCUUUGAUUAAGAAAAGAACAUACAGACAUUGCAUGGCAAACAGCAUCCAGGCCAGUGAUACAUAACAUACGACAUCUUUCAAAAUAGGCAAGUUUGAGCAACUGGCUGUGUCAGCCAUACUGGCUCCACUGUUGCUAGGUCUCUACUGAUUUUGUGAGAAGCUGUGCAGACCUGUUCAACUGGAAUAAAGAUAAAAAAUAACUAGAUCCCGUUGUUGCAUGCAAUCUCAGAUCAGAAAAACAAACAGGUUCACCCCUUGUUCAGCAUGAGCUAAACAAAGCUGUCUCUCCUGAGUAUUUUUGAAGUAUCCUUGAUUAGUUUUUUUUAAACGUAAUACUAUGUUAGCAUACUUUUAAGGUGGUUAGAGGGUGUUAGCGCAUAUAUAUAGCCAACAAUUCUGUUAAAUGGGCAGCAAUAUUUCAUCCAUCUACAAUCAGACAAAUUUUUUUCAAUUACAGAACUGAACAAAACUCCUCACUCAACACAAAAUGAAAU
Molecule: long non-coding RNA, 2388 nt
Organism: Siniperca chuatsi (mandarin fish)
Lineage: Eukaryota; Metazoa; Chordata; Actinopteri; Centrarchiformes; Sinipercidae
Exons: 2
Source: RefSeq, a predicted model, not a curated record